GUACUACUCUCAGAGUUUGAUCCUGGCUCAGGACGAACGCUGGCGGCGUGCCUAACACAUGCAAGUCAACGGGGUAAUUACUUCGGUGAUUACUUAGUGGCGAACGGGUGAGUAACGCGUGAGGAACCUGCCUCUCAGUGGGGGACAACAGUUGGAAACGACUGCUAAUACCGCAUAACGCAGCGAGACCGCAUGGUCUUGCUGUCAAAGCUUUAUGUGCUGAGAGAUGGCCUCGCGUCUGAUUAGCUAGUUGGCGGGGUAACGGCCCACCAAGGCGACGAUCAGUAGCCGGUCUGAGAGGAUGAACGGCCACAUUGGGACUGAGAUACGGCCCAG
Molecule: ribosomal RNA, 336 nt
Filed under: uncultured bacterium
Lineage: Bacteria
Description: bacterial SSU rRNA
Rfam family: Bacterial small subunit ribosomal RNA
Source: RNAcentral